Long non-coding RNA from Felis catus (domestic cat), 1451 nucleotides. RefSeq lists it as uncharacterized. The transcript has 2 exons. The record is from RefSeq and is a predicted model, not a curated record. NCBI's taxonomy places the organism in Eukaryota, Metazoa, Chordata, Mammalia, Carnivora, Felidae.
CCGGAGGCUAGUGGGGGGCGCUGGGAAAUGGAGUUCCGCUGCUCCGAAGGAGGGGCAGGGGGGAAGGUGUCUUCGCCUGCUUUUAAAGGGGACGGACCCAGAUUUCUCCGCGCACAGUCCGGCAGUCACAGAAAGGACGGUGUGGCCCCUUCCGUAAGUUGAGGCACCCAUAAGAAAGGAGCAGCCUGUCCUACAGACAAAGGUGACCUGUCCUUGCUGGGAAGUGAUUCUCAUUUCACCUGAAAUUCUACCACUGGUGUCCUUACAGGACGUCGAAAUCAUCUGUGAAAAACACUUGUGAAACGGAAAUUACUGAAAGGUAUUAAUAACGAUCAGUUAUUCAAAGAGAGUAGCAGAAAUACAGCUGGGGAGACAUAACUUGUUCACAUUUAAAAAAAAAAAAAAAAAAAAGGAAAGUUGAGAUCUUAAGGAAGUUUGCCAGAACGUGAAAUCUGAAAAGCCAGAGAAUGAAGCUACGCUUAUGGCUCUGCUUGAAUCUGGCCACACUCAGGUUUUUGACUUUUUUAUACUUGAAAACGAGGCUAUUAACUGCUUGGAGAGAGAGAGAGAGAGAGAGACAGAGAGAGAGAGAGAGAGAGAGAGAGAGAGAGAGAGAGAGAGAGAGAGAGAGACACUAUUUUGAAAGGCUUGCCUAGAUGGUGAAAAUGAACAGGGAAACUGUGCUGUGGGGGUGUAUUUACGUAUCUCAGAUGCACAGUAUGCACCCACUGGGUUUCAGGCUCUCCAGUAGGUGCACGGGACACAUCGGGGAGAGAGCUGCCAGCGCUCUCUGUAUCCCGACUGUUCUGUUUUUCUCCAUUCGUCCCUUUAGCGUUCAUCUGAAGGCCAAACUAACAAAGGUGUGUACUCCUCUCUUCCUAGUCAGUUUUACAGGCUCGCAGAGCUCCUAUUACAAACAGCUCAAGAACCAGCCCUAAUGUGUGUUUCUGCUUCCUGCCCCACAAAGCAUGUCCCCACCUGGGGACUCCCUGACACAUCAGUCAUAAAGGCAUAAUCUCAGUGCCCCCUCUCGCCCUGUCCUUCCUGCAGGUGACAUGGUUUUGUGCGGACCUCCGAGGUGUGCCAGGCCUCUUAUUUCUGGGUAUGUGGAGUGUAGCUAAGCUACUUCCUGGUGUCACUGUCUCAGCAUCCAUUUUGUUCGGCCAAGCGGCCUGCAGGGGACUUUACACUGACAUCCACUUCCUCAUGGAAGUACAUGCCCUAGAUUACAGCCUGAAGAGUCACAAGCAAAUGUAAGUUCCUGACAGGACUUCCCAAAGGCCCUUGUAAUGACCCCACCAUUCAACACCCUGUGCGGUACUUAAUAAAUGUUAAUCUACCAGUCACAACACAGGAGACUGUUGAGUAGCACAACUUGCCUUCCAAUGGCAUCGACCUCUCCAUGUUGCACUCAGUCACCUUGAUAAAUAAAGACCCUGGCGCAAUUCAAA